Molecule: long non-coding RNA, 2032 nt
Organism: Salvia miltiorrhiza (redroot sage)
Lineage: Eukaryota; Viridiplantae; Streptophyta; Magnoliopsida; Lamiales; Lamiaceae
Exons: 6
Source: RefSeq, a predicted model, not a curated record
AUAUUAAUUGCCAAUUUGCUUAAUUGAAGUUAGUUCCAGCGUGACAUUGGAGAGCACAAAAAGCUUCAGCUUAGUUCCAGCAAUUCACCAUCACACUCGAAAAACAAGCAAACUCCUCCGAUUUGAAUUUGUGAAUUUGUGGUUUCCUUCACCUGAGUUCCUCCGAUUUGAAUCUCUCAUCUCAAACUCUGAGCUCCGAACUUCAAUUUAAUCCCCAGAGAGAGAUUGAUCCGGCUCAAAACUCUCCGACAUAGUCGUAGCAGCAUCCCUUGCGAUCUCCUCCGCUUGAGAUCAAAAUUUUGGUGCGACCUUUUCAUUUCUCCUCUAAUUUCAUAUAUAAUUUCUCUAUUUAUAACCAUUAUUCUAUCAUUUUAUUGAAGCUCUGCUUUGGUGCAUUGUAAUUGAAGCUCUACUUUCGAAUUGAAGUCCAGUCUCACAGUAGCCAUUCUAAGUACUUGUUAGUUUUGAAAUGGACAAGAGUUGGAUUAAUGCGCCAAGGGUUAGUGAUGUUUAUAAGAGUGGAUGUGAGUCAUUCAUACAAUUUGCCAUGGAAGCUCAAGAAACUAUACUUUGCCCCUGCUUGAAGUGUUGUAAUGGCAAAAGGUUUUCAACUGAAAAUGUUCUUCAUCACAUAUUAUUCAAUGGUUUUUGUCCGGGAUAUACUACUUGGAAUUUUCACGGAGAACAUGUAUCGUCGGAAUAUGACACUUCUUACAUAAGAAAACUAGCGGCUCAAACAACUACUGUUCACAGAGAUGUCCCAAGUAAGAGUGAUACAAUUAGGGAUAUGAUACAUGCUGCAUUAGGAAAUGAUUUAGGAGAAGAUUCAAACCAUAAAAUUGGUGAGUUUAGUGACGGUCAAGCCCCUGAGAAUGUCGAAGGUCUUCAUGCUAAUAUUUCUUCAAGUGAACAACACCAUGAAAAUAAUUUUUGUGGUGUUGACGCCUCACGAUAUCAGAAAAUACUAGCAGAAUGUGAUAAAGAAUUGUAUCCUAAUUGCAAGUACUCACAGCUAUACUUUAACUUGAACCAAACAAGGGAAAAAAGCUCGUGCGACCCAAAGUCAUACUCAUAUAACUGGAACCAAGAGUUAUGCUCAAGUUGAAGAUGAGCAUGUCAUUAAAUAUAAAGAACAUCCAGGGCCACUUACAUUUUUUGACUUGACACAUAAAAGGAGAGAUGGUUCUUAUGUGCAGAGUGAUUCAAAAGAAUUUAUGAUGGCUGCCAAAUCAGAGAUUGUUAAACGUAAAACUGAAGGAACUUGUGAAAAUACUGUUGAAUUAGAAAGUUCAGUUUGGUAUGAUUUGAUGGGUGAUGAUAAACCUGGUCGAGCUCGUGGUUAUGGUAUUGGUGUCACGAAAUCAAGUGUGACCACCUUCCGAGCCAAACUUAGACAAAUGCAAAGUGAAUCAGAAAAAUCCAAUGCUCAUGACAUUGAAAUGGCCCAGCUCAAGCUAUUACUUAGCAAGCAACAACAACAACUUGUUGCACAAGAAAAUGCAAUGAAUGCAUACAUGGCAAAGACAAAUGAAAUUAUAGGCAAUUUGAGAGAUGAAGUUCUACUUUAUCGUACAGCAUUUGGAGCUGGUACAGGGGACGUACCCAACCAUCUGAAAACGAGCUCAGGUUGCACCCAAGCAUUGGAGGCUGGAGAUCAAUUUCAGCCAGGAUGCAGUGUUGAUGCUUUCAUCAAUAAGCUCACCUAAUGGCAUCCAGGCUGAAGUUCGUGGCUUCCAACAUGACGGCUCCUUGCACCUAUAACAAUUUCAGUGAAAGGGCAUAAAUUGCUUGAUAUAUUGAACCUUCAUAAGGGGUCACCAAAUAAAGGUCAAGAAUAGUAUGCUAAAAAGAGUGGCUGCUGAGGAUGAUCUUUCCCAAAUGAAAGCAUUUUCUUAAUCAUGUUUGACACAUGUAAUUGCAUAUAUUUCACCAUGCCCCAUAUAUAUUGGUGGUUGACCUUGUUAUUUGAGUUAAUUGCAUAAAUAUUCAAGAGCUUAUUUGGCAUGGAUAAUAGCAACAUCUAUUUCUUCUA